This 253-nucleotide ribosomal RNA is filed under the name uncultured bacterium. Its description in RNAcentral is "partial 16S ribosomal RNA". It matches the Rfam family "Bacterial small subunit ribosomal RNA", at positions 524 to 776 of the family's 1533-position model. The record is from RNAcentral.
UACGGAGGAUGCAAGCGUUAUCCGGAAUCAUUGGGCGUAAAGCGCGCGUAGGCGGCUUUGUAAGUUAGAGGUGAAAGCCCGGGGCUCAACCCCGGAACUGCCUUUAAGACUGCAUCGCUUGAAUCCAGGAGAGGUGAGUGGAAUUCCGAGUGUAGAGGUGAAAUUCGUAGAUAUUCGGAAGAACACCAGUGGCGAAGGCGGCUCACUGGACUGGUAUUGACGCUGAUGUGCGAAAGCGUGGGGAGCAAACAGG